UGAACGCUGGCGGUAUGCUUAACACAUGCAAGUCGAACGGAAACGAUACUAGCUUGCUAGUAGGCGUCGAGUGGCGGACGGGUGAGUAACGCGUAGGAAUCUGCCUGAUAGUGGGGGAUAGCCCGAAGAAAUUCGGAUUAAUACCGCAUAAUCUAUUCGUAGUAAAGUGGGGGACUUUCGAGCCUCACGCUAUCAGAUGAGCCUGCGUAAGAUUAGCUUGUUGGUAGGGUAAAAGCCUACCAAGGCGACGAUCUUUAGCUGGUCUGAGAGGAUGAUCAGCCACAUCGGGACUGAGACACGGCCCGAACUCCUACGGGAGGCAGCAGUGGGGAAUAUUGGACAAUGGGGGCAACCCUGAUCCAGCAAUACCGCGUGUGUGAAGAAGGCCUGAGGGUUGUAAAGCACUUUCAAUUGUGAAGAAAAGUUAGCGGUUAAUAACCGUUAGCCUUGACGUUAACUUUAGAAGAAGCACCGGCUAACUCCGUGCCAGCAGCCGCGGUAAUACGGGAGGGUGCAAGCGUUAAUCGGAAUUACUUGGGCGUAAAGCGUGCGUAGGCGGUUUAUUAAGUCAGAUGUGAAAGCCCCGGGCUUAACUGGGAACUGCAUUUGAAACUGGUCAACUAGAGUAUGGUAGAGGAAAGUGGAAUUUCUGGUGUAGCGGUGAAAUGCGUAGAUAUCAGAAGGAACAUCAAUGGCGAAGGCAGCUUUCUGGACCAAUACUGACGCUGAGGUACGAAAGCGUGGGUAGCAAACAGGAUUAGAUACCCUGGUAGUCCACGCCGUAAACGAUGAUAACUAGCCGUUGGGGGGAUUUACCCUUUAGUGGCGAAGCUAACGCGUUAAGUUAUCCGCCUGGGGAGUACGGCCGCAAGGUUAAAACUCAAAGGAAUUGACGGGGACCCGCACAAGCGGUGGAGCAUGUGGUUUAAUUCGAUGCAACGCGAAGAACCUUACCUGGUCUUGACAUCCUGCGAACUUUCUAGAAAUAGAUUGGUGCCUUCGGGAACGCAGUGACAGGUGCUGCAUGGCUGUCGUCAGCUCGUGUCGUGAGAUGUUGGGUUAAGUCCCGUAACGAGCGCAACCCCUAUCCUUAUUUGCCAGCACAUCAUGGUGGGAACUAUAAGGAGACUGCCGGUGAUAAACCGGAGGAAGGCGGGGACGACGUCAAGUCAUCAUGGCCCUUACGACCAGGGCUACACACGUGCUACAAUGGGAAGGACAAAGAGCCGCGAAGCCGCGAGGUGUAGCUAAUCUCAUAAACCUUUUCGUAGUCCGGAUUGGAGUCUGCAACUCGACUCCAUGAAGUCGGAAUCGCUAGUAAUCGUAGAUCAGAAUGCUACGGUGAAUACGUUCCCGGGUCUUGUACACACCGCCC
This 1375-nucleotide ribosomal RNA is filed under the name uncultured bacterium. Its description in RNAcentral is "16S ribosomal RNA". It matches the Rfam family "Bacterial small subunit ribosomal RNA", at positions 30 to 1395 of the family's 1533-position model. The record is from RNAcentral.